Molecule: ribosomal RNA, 443 nt
Filed under: uncultured prokaryote
Description: bacterial SSU rRNA
Rfam family: Bacterial small subunit ribosomal RNA
Source: RNAcentral
UAGGGAAUAUUGGUCAAUGGGCGGAAGCCUGAACCAGCCAUGCCGCGUGCAGGAAGACGGCCUUCUGGGUUGUAAACUGCUUUUACCAGGGAACAAAUAGGCCAUGCGUGGCAAGUUGAGUGUACCUGGGGAAUAAGCACCGGCUAACUCCGUGCCAGCAGCCGCGGUAAUACGGAGGGUGCAAGCGUUGUCCGGAUUUAUUGGGUUUAAAGGGUGCGUAGGCGGUUGAUUAAGUCAGUGGUGAAAUCCUACAGCUUAACUGUAGAACUGCCAUUGAUACUGGUUGACUUGAGUACUGUUGAGGUAGGCGGAAUUUAUGGUGUAGCGGUGAAAUGCAUAGAUACCAUAAAGAACACCGAUAGCGUAGGCAGCUUACUAGACAGUGACUGACGCUGAGGCACGAAAGCGUGGGGAGCGAACGGGAUUAGAUACCCCCGUAGUCC